Molecule: long non-coding RNA, 303 nt
Filed under: Ricinus communis (castor bean)
Lineage: Eukaryota; Viridiplantae; Streptophyta; Magnoliopsida; Malpighiales; Euphorbiaceae
Description: long non-coding RNA (RCOM_LNC001904)
Source: RNAcentral
CAACUUCCUCCAUCAAUGGCAAAACGACAUACCUUGUCUUUAAUGGUGCAAGUAGACUGAAAGAUAUUAGUUAUGAGCCAAUCCUCAUCUUCAGAACUCGCUUUGGGAGUUAAGCAAGAAUGCCUAACAACAAGAGCAGUCCCUACAUCUCCUUUUAACAACAAUUCAUCGAUUGUUUUGUCCUCAUCAUACACAGGUUGACCCUCAAUAUCUCGUUCCUCCACAACAUAGUCGUCUGCUUCAAGGAAGAGGGCCUACUUACCCGCUGUCUUCUUACAUUCAGAAAGCCUAUAGCCAACCUCU